Molecule: ribosomal RNA, 253 nt
Filed under: uncultured bacterium
Lineage: Bacteria
Description: partial 16S ribosomal RNA
Rfam family: Bacterial small subunit ribosomal RNA
Source: RNAcentral
UACGUAGGGUGCGAGCGUUGUCCGGAAUUAUUGGGCGUAAAGAGCUUGUAGGCGGUCUGUCGCGUCUGCUGUGAAAAUCCGGGGCUCAACCCCGGACUUGCAGUGGGUACGGGCAGACUAGAGUGUGGUAGGGGAGACUGGAAUUCCUGGUGUAGCGGUGAAAUGCGCAGAUAUCAGGAGGAACACCGGUGGCGAAGGCGGGUCUCUGGGCCGAUAUUGACGCUGAGGAGCGAAAGCGUGGGGAGCAAACAGG